CCUACGGGAGGCAGCAGUGGGGAAUCUUGCGCAAUGGGCGAAAGCCUGACGCAGCAACGCCGCGUGCGGGAAGAAGGCCUUAGGGUUGUAAACCGCUUUCAGUAGGAACGAAAAUGACGGUACCUGCAGAAGAAGGUGCGGCCAACUACGUGCCAGCAGCCGCGGUGACACGUAGGCACCAAGCGUUGUCCGGAUUUAUUGGGCGUAAAGAGCUCGUAGGCGGUUCAGUAAGUCGGGUGUGAAAACUCUGGGCUUAACCCAGAGCCGCCACUCGAUACUGCUGUGACUUGAGUUCGGUAGGGGAGCAGGGAAUUCCUAGUGUAGCGGUGAAAUGCGCAGAUAUUAGGAGGAACACCGGUGGCGAAGGCGCUGCUCUGGGCCGAUACUGACGCUGAGGAGCGAAAGCGUGGGUAGCAAACAGGAUUAGAUACCCUGGUAGUCCACGCCGUAAACCGUUGGGCACUAGGUGUGGGUUCCAACCACGGAAUCCGCGCCGUCGCUAACGCAUAGUGCCGCCGUCGGAGGUACGGCGGCGACGACGUAAACGUUAAACGUAAGUAGACGGCGUGAGACGNGCCGACGGCGACGACGAGGGAGUAGG
This 601-nucleotide ribosomal RNA is filed under the name uncultured bacterium. RNAcentral's name for it is "bacterial SSU rRNA". The stretch from base 1 to 517 matches the Rfam family "Bacterial small subunit ribosomal RNA", at positions 338 to 873 of the family's 1533-position model. The record is from RNAcentral.